AUUGAACGCUGGCGGCAUGCCUUACACAUGCAAGUCGAACGGCAGCACGGGAGCAAUCCUGGUGGCGAGUGGCGAACGGGUGAGUAAUAUAUCGGAACGUGCCCAGUCGUGGGGAUAACGUAGCGAAAGCUACGCUAAUACCGCAUACGAUCUAUGGAUGAAAGCGGGGGAUCGCAAGACCUCGCGCGAUUGGAGCGGCCGAUAUCAGAUUAGGUAGUUGGUGAGGUAAAGGCUCACCAAGCCGACGAUCUGUAGCUGGUCUGAGAGGACGACCAGCCACACUGGGACUGAGACACGGCCCAGACUCCUACGGGAGGCAGCAGUGGGGAAUUUUGGGACAAUGGGCGCAAGCCUGAUCCAGCAAUGCCGCGUGCAGGAUGAAGGCCUCGGUGUAACUGCUUUGUAC
This 406-nucleotide ribosomal RNA is filed under the name uncultured bacterium. RNAcentral describes it as "bacterial SSU rRNA". It matches the Rfam family "Bacterial small subunit ribosomal RNA", at positions 30 to 440 of the family's 1533-position model. The record is from RNAcentral.